Molecule: long non-coding RNA, 464 nt
Organism: Cephus cinctus (wheat stem sawfly)
Lineage: Eukaryota; Metazoa; Arthropoda; Insecta; Hymenoptera; Cephidae
Exons: 3
Source: RefSeq, a predicted model, not a curated record
AGCGACUGUCAUUUAUCUCAAAAGAUAUCCGUGAAGAAGCAGAAAUAGUUUGGUAAAACGAAUGAGAUACGACCGAAGCUUUCAGAACUCCCAGUGGAUGAUGGAUCGUUCCGUAAGGUUUGGUUAAGAGUGAGUCGACUUAGAAACAACCUAAAAUCAACUGGCUGAUUGGUGCGCGAAUUAAGCGGAAGCGCCAUGUUGAUUAUUUAAAUCCUAUGAAGAUUUUAAAUUCUCGAAUGCUUCUUCAAGACACGUCUCAAAGUAUCCAACGAAGGUGUUUUCAUCCGAGUGCAAAGGACCUUACUGGGAGAAAAAAUGAACGGCCAGGCCAACGGACAAUAACGACCUCGGUUUCAGGGUCAGUUUGACUAUUAUCUUACCGCCAAGGCCAUGAAGUGCAUCGGUCAAUUUCUACUAUAAGGUACAUCUACACUGAUACAUACUUACAUUGCAGUUGGAUAAAU